RNAcentral lists this long non-coding RNA (1101 nucleotides) under Anser brachyrhynchus (Pink-footed goose). Its description in RNAcentral is "lncRNA (ENSABRG00000002247.1)". The record is from RNAcentral. Lineage: Eukaryota; Metazoa; Chordata; Aves; Anseriformes; Anatidae.
UAACAGAACAUACUCCUCUGGCAUACUCUAGACAGCACAACCCAACAGAUGAUGAAGAAUAAUCUAAGUAAACAUAUCUAAAUGGCAACCCGCAACUGAGGACAAAUUUUCAUAUUUUUUUCUUAGUAAAUGUUAAUGUCAAGACUGUAGCAAAAACCUUGCUCUGAUUAAUCUUUUAAAGAUACAGCAUUCAGUGUGGCUUAUAGAGUUACGUAAAUUUUAACUGUGGUGAUUCCUUUAUUCUGAGAAAGUAAUCCUGGAUACUAAGGUAUAAACACCUGUGAUAUACAUCUGUAUAUCUCCAUAUCUUUUGGAAUUGUGAAUACAACUAGUAUAGAAUCUUUUAAUGAAUGAAGAAGCACUUAAUGUAAAGCUUGCUCUGGCUGGACCUACAUGUGGACAAGCUGCUGAACUGCAGAAAACAUUGCUGCCUUGUUACCAAGAAAGUGGUUGGCUUCAAGUACCAUCUUUCUUGGAAACCUAUUGUCCAACUGUGGGAGGAAGAAAAGAAUUUCUUGGGAGUUGCUCCCCAGGGAGAGACAGAACUAAUCCACCUCCGCUGUUCUUGCGGGGUGUGCUGUUGUGAACAAAACAAGUUCUCUUUUAAAACACAGAAAAAAAACAAGUUGCCAGAAGAAGCCUGACAAAGAACACAUGUAUGUCAACAUUUUUCUUUGCUAGAAGAAAACACACAAGAUCUUUUUCAUUAGUGAAACAGUCAGAAUGCCAAGGUGAAAUAAUUCUGUGGGCAGUUCAGAAGCAGACAACUACAGUUUAUGAAGAUCUUUGUGAAUGUUAGAGACUAGAAUUGAAUAUCCAUGGCAGUCACUUUCAGUUCUGUCUCACAGUUGAGAAUAUUGCUUGAAAAUUAGGUAGAUAUUCCAGUUUCCCUCUCCCUCUUCCCUUUCCCACUUCAUUUUUAGUUAGUGUAUGUUUUGGUUAUCUUAGUGUUUUGUAAAUGCCUCAAAAAACAUGUUUUUUUGAGUACUAAGUGUAUUUCAAGAAAAUCAGCCAAAUUAUCCAGAAUGAAAAGUAAAGCUGAAAUUUAAAAUUCUUCAAAUAGCCUUAAAAAAUCUGCUUACUGAUUUGUUUAUUGAGAAU